This 343-nucleotide unclassified non-coding RNA is filed under the name soil metagenome. Its description in RNAcentral is "partial contains 5.8S ribosomal RNA, internal transcribed spacer 2, and large subunit ribosomal RNA". The stretch from base 1 to 120 matches the Rfam family "5.8S ribosomal RNA", at positions 35 to 154 of the family's 154-position model. The record is from RNAcentral.
GAUGAAGAACGCAGCGAAAUGCGAUAAGUAGUGUGAAUUGCAGAAUUCAGUGAAUCAUCGAAUCUUUGAACGCACAUUGCGCCUCCUGGUAUUCCGGGAGGCAUGCCUGUUCGAGCGUCAUCAAAAACCUCAGUCUGAGACUUUGUCAAGGAUUGGUCAUGCUUCGGAUGCGAUUGCAUCCCCAGCGAAAUCCAAUGGCGAAGAGCCUCUAGGCCAAAGCGUAGUAUUAAUAUCUCGUUAUGGUCCGGUGCGCGCUUCUGCCGUAACCCCCCCACUUCUAAGUUUUUGACCUCGGAUCAGGUAGGGAUACCCGCUGAACUUAAGCAUAUCAAUAAGCGGACGA